RNAcentral lists this ribosomal RNA (253 nucleotides) under uncultured bacterium. Its description in RNAcentral is "partial 16S ribosomal RNA". It matches the Rfam family "Bacterial small subunit ribosomal RNA", at positions 524 to 776 of the family's 1533-position model. The record is from RNAcentral.
UACGUAGGGAGCAAGCGUUGUUCGGAAUUACUGGGCGUAAAGGGCUCGUAGGCGGCCAACUAAGUCAGACGUGAAAUCCCUCGGCUUAACCGGGGAACUGCAUCUGAUACUGGAUGGCUUGAGUUCGGGAGAGGGAUGCGGAAUUCCAGGUGUAGCGGUGAAAUGCGUUGAUAUCCACAGGAACUCCGGUGGCGAAGGCGGCACGCUGGACCCCUUCUGACGCUGAGGCGCGAAAGCCAGGGGAGCGAACGGG